This 472-nucleotide ribosomal RNA is filed under the name uncultured bacterium. RNAcentral's name for it is "bacterial SSU rRNA". It matches the Rfam family "Bacterial small subunit ribosomal RNA", at positions 28 to 507 of the family's 1533-position model. The record is from RNAcentral.
GACGAACGCUGGCGGCGUGCUUAACACAUGCAAGUCGAACGAGGUUAUGGAGGAGCUUGCUCCGAAGUAACCGAGUGGCGGACGGGUGAGUAACGCGUGAGGAACCUGUCUCACACAGGGGGAUAACGCACCGAAAGGUGUGCUAAUACCGCAUAAGACCACGGUACCGCAUGGUACAGGGGUCAAAGGAGCAAUCCGGUGUGAGGUGGCCUCGCGUCUGAUUAGGUAGUUGGUGAGGUAACGGCCCACCAAGCCGACGAUCAGUAGCCGACCUGAGAGGGUGAUCGGCCACAUUGGAACUGAGACACGGUCCAAACUCCUACGGGAGGCAGCAGUGGGGAAUAUUGGGCAAUGGGCGCAAGCCUGACCCAGCAACGCCGCGUGAGGGAAGAAGGUUUUCGGAUUGUAAACCUCUGUCCUAAGUGAAGAGCAGAAGACGGUAGCUUAGGAGGAAGCCCCGGCUAACUACGUG